GAGGCAGCAGUAGGGAAUAUUGCGCAAUGGCCGAAAGGUUGACGCAGCGACGCCGCGUGUGGGAGGACGCCCUUCGGGGUGUAAACCACUGUCAGGGGGGAAGAACUUCGUAGGUGUUAAUAGCGCUUGCGGUUGACGGUACCCCCAGAGGAAGCGCCGGCUAACUCCGUGCCAGCAGCCGCGGUAAGACGGAGGGCGCAAGCGUUGUUCGGAAUUACUGGGCGUAAAGGGCAGGUAGGUGGUCUGUUAAGUCUUCUGUGAAAACCCGGGGCUCAACCCCGCGGAAUGCAGGUGAAACUGGCAGACUUGAGACCGGUAGAGGCUAGCGGAAUUCCUGGUGUAGCGGUGGAAUGCGUAGAUAUCAGGAAGAACACCUGUGGCGAAGGCGGCUAGCUGGGCCGGUUCUGACACUAAACUGCGAAAGCGUGGGGAGCAAACAGGAUUAGAUACCCUAGUAGUCCAAGCCG
This 467-nucleotide ribosomal RNA is filed under the name uncultured bacterium. RNAcentral's name for it is "bacterial SSU rRNA". It matches the Rfam family "Bacterial small subunit ribosomal RNA", at positions 345 to 802 of the family's 1533-position model. The record is from RNAcentral.